AGAACGAACGCUGGCGGCAUGCCUAACACAUGCAAGUCGAACGAGACCUUCGGGUCUAGUGGCGCACGGGUGCGUAACGCGUGGGAAUCUGCCCUUGGGUUCGGGAUAACAGUUGGAAACGACUGCUAAUACCGGAUGAUGACUUCGGUCCAAAGAUUUAUCGCCCAGGGAUGAGCCCGCGUAGGAUUAGCUAGUUGGUGAGGUAAAGGCUCACCAAGGCGACGAUCCUUAGCUGGUCUGAGAGGAUGAUCAGCCACACUGGGACUGAGACACGGCCCAGACUCCUACGGGAGGCAGCAGUGGGAUAUGACAAUGGGCGAAAGCCUGAUCCAGACAAUGCCGCGUGAGUGAGUGGAAGGACCGUUAGGGUUAGUAAACGCGUUCCGUUUUAACCCGGGAUUG
RNAcentral lists this ribosomal RNA (402 nucleotides) under uncultured soil bacterium. Its description in RNAcentral is "bacterial SSU rRNA". It matches the Rfam family "Bacterial small subunit ribosomal RNA", at positions 26 to 455 of the family's 1533-position model. The record is from RNAcentral.